UACGGAGGGAGCUAGCGUUGUUUGGAAUUACUGGGCGUAAAGCGCGCGUAGGCGGCUUUGUAAGUUAGAGGUGAAAGCCCGGGGCUCAACCCCGGAAUUGCCUUUAAGACUGCAUCGCUUGAAUCCGGGAGAGGUGAGUGGAAUUCCGAGUGUAGAGGUGAAAUUCGUAGAUAUUCGGAAGAACACCAGUGGCGAAGGCGGCUCACUGGACCGGCAUUGACGCUGAGGUGCGAAAGCGUGGGGAGCAAACAGG
Molecule: ribosomal RNA, 253 nt
Filed under: uncultured bacterium
Lineage: Bacteria
Description: partial 16S ribosomal RNA
Rfam family: Bacterial small subunit ribosomal RNA
Source: RNAcentral